UUAUGGUUUAAAAAUUUUAUUUAAAGUUUAUUUUACAUACAAAUUUUAGUGUUAAUUUUAACUUAUUUAAAUAAUAUUUAAAUUAAAAUAGUAGUAAUUAAUAUUAAAUUAUUUAAGAAAUUAAGAUUUAGUAAUAUUUUAAUUAAUAACAAAUUUUGUGCCAGCAGUUGCGGUUAUACAAAAAUUAAAUUAAAUUUUAUUGAUUAUUAAUUAGUAAUUGUAAUUGAAUAAUAAAAAUUUUAAAUUAUUAGGUGAAAUUUUAAUUUAAUUAAAUUUUAUAAAUUAAAAAUUAUGAUUUAAUAAAUUUUAUAAAAAACUAGGAUUAGAUACCCUAUUAUAAAAAUUUAAAAUUAAAAUAUCAAAAUAGUAAAUAAAUAUUUAUUGAAACUUAAAUAAUUUGGCGGUAUUUUAGUUCAUUUAGAGGAAUCUGUUUAAUAAUUGAUAAUCCACGAAUAAAUUUACUUAAUUUAUUAUUUUGUAUAUCGUUGUUAAAAAAAUAUUUUUUAAUAAAAUUAAUAUUUAAAAAUUAUUAUAUAAAUUUAAAUCAGAUCAAGAUGCAGAUUAUAAUUAAGAAUAUGAUGGAUUACAAUAAAUUUAUUUAAAUGAAUAUUAAUUUGUAAUAAUUAAUUGAAAGUGGAUUUAAAUGUAAUUUUAUUUAGUUUAAUAAAAUGAUUAAAAAUUAAAAUAUGUACAUAUUGCCCGUCGCUUUCAUAUAAUAAUAAAUUGAAAUAAGUCGUAACAAAGUAGAGGUACUGGAAAGUGUUUCUAGAAAGAA
This 775-nucleotide non-coding RNA is filed under the name Xestia c-nigrum (spotted cutworm). The record is from RNAcentral. Lineage: Eukaryota; Metazoa; Arthropoda; Insecta; Lepidoptera; Noctuidae.